CCUACGGGGGGCUGCAGUAAGGAAUAUUGGUCAAUGGAGGAAACUCUGAACCAGCCAUCCCGCGUGAAGGAUGAAGGGGCUCUGCCUUGUAAACUUCUUUUGUCUGGGGCGAAAAAGCUCGAUUUAUCGAGAACUGACGGUACCAGAAGAAUAAGCACCGGCUAACUCCGUGACAGCAGCCGCGGUACUACGGAGGGUGCAAGCGUUAUCCGGAAUAACGGGGUCGUAAGGGUGUUAAGGCGGCUUUGGUGAAAGGCUGUGGCUUAACCAUGGAAUUGCCAUUGAUACUGCAGAGCUUGAAGGAGGUUGAGGUUGGCGGAAUGUGACAUGUAGCGGUGAAAUGCUUAGAUAUGUCAUGGAACACCGAUUGCGAAGGCAGCUGACUGGACCUAUAUUGACGCUGAGGCACGAAAGCGUGGGGAGCGAACAGGAUUAGAUACCCCGGUAGUC
This 450-nucleotide ribosomal RNA is filed under the name uncultured bacterium. Its description in RNAcentral is "partial 16S ribosomal RNA". It matches the Rfam family "Bacterial small subunit ribosomal RNA", at positions 338 to 795 of the family's 1533-position model. The record is from RNAcentral.